AUGCCAAGCCGAGGAACAACACUGUCCAAGAUGCAGUUUUGCCAAUGCCACAAGAAUCAUACUCCUUCCCCUGAUCCUAAAGGAAGAAGGGAUAGCCACACUCCUCUCGAAGUUCGCCAACCUAUGAGGAAGGAAAGGUAUGAAGAAGAUGCUCUCUUCCAGUUGCUACAGAGGAACCAUUUGCACACUCGCAUCUUGGAUAAUAGAAUUCCAAGACAGUAG
Molecule: non-coding RNA, 222 nt
Organism: Vicia faba (fava bean)
Lineage: Eukaryota; Viridiplantae; Streptophyta; Magnoliopsida; Fabales; Fabaceae
Source: the annotation of a GenBank genome assembly